This 465-nucleotide ribosomal RNA is filed under the name Vreelandella stevensii. Its description in RNAcentral is "partial 16S ribosomal RNA". It matches the Rfam family "Bacterial small subunit ribosomal RNA", at positions 338 to 795 of the family's 1533-position model. The record is from RNAcentral. Lineage: Bacteria; Pseudomonadati; Pseudomonadota; Gammaproteobacteria; Oceanospirillales; Halomonadaceae.
CCUACGGGUGGCAGCAGUGGGGAAUAUUGGACAAUGGGCGAAAGCCUGAUCCAGCCAUGCCGCGUGUGUGAAGAAGGCCUUCGGGUUGUAAAGCACUUUCAGUGGGGAAGAAAGCCUUGGGGCUAAUACCCUCGAGGAAGGACAUCACCCACAGAAGAAGCACCGGCUAACUCCGUGCCAGCAGCCGCGGUAAUACGGAGGGUGCGAGCGUUAAUCGGAAUUACUGGGCGUAAAGCGCGCGUAGGCGGUCUGAUAAGCCGGUUGUGAAAGCCCCGGGCUCAACCUGGGAACGGCAUCCGGAACUGUCAGGCUAGAGUGCAGGAGAGGAAGGUAGAAUUCCCGGUGUAGCGGUGAAAUGCGUAGAGAUCGGGAGGAAUACCAGUGGCGAAGGCGGCCUUCUGGUCUGACACUGACGCUGAGGUGCGAAAGCGUGGGUAGCAAACAGGAUUAGAUACCCUGGUAGUC